This 501-nucleotide ribosomal RNA is filed under the name uncultured bacterium. Its description in RNAcentral is "bacterial SSU rRNA". It matches the Rfam family "Bacterial small subunit ribosomal RNA", at positions 791 to 1289 of the family's 1533-position model. The record is from RNAcentral.
UAGUCCACGCCGUAAACGAUGAUAACUAGCUGUCCGAACCCACAGGGUUUGGGUGGCGCAGCUAACGCAUUAAGUUAUCCGCCUGGGGAGUACGGUCGCAAGAUUAAAACUCAAAGGAAUUGACGGGGGCCUGCACAAGCGGUGGAGCAUGUGGUUUAAUUCGACGCAACGCGCAGAACCUUACCAGCUUUUGACAUCCUGGUCGCGGAUUUGGGAGACCAUUUCCUUCAGUUCGGCUGGACCAGUGACAGGUGCUGCAUGGCUGUCGUCAGCUCGUGUCGUGAGAUGUUGGGUUAAGUCCCGCAACGAGCGCAACCCUCAUCCUUAGUUGCCAGCAUUUAGUUGGGCACUCUAAGGAAACUGCCGGUGAUAAGCCGGAGGAAGGUGGGGAUGACGUCAAGUCCUCAUGGCCCUUACAAGCUGGGCUACACACGUGCUACAAUGGUCGUGACAAAGAGUUGCUAGUCUGCGAAGGCAAGCCAAUCUCAUAAACGCGGCCUU